CCUACGGGCGGCAGCAGUAGGGAAUUUUCGUCAAUGGGCGCAAGCCUGAACGAGCAAUGCCGCGUGAACGAGGAAGGUCUUCUGAUCGUAAAGUUCUGUUGAAGGGGAAAAAGAGCGGAGAGAGGAAAUGCACUCCGAUUGAUAUUACCCUUCGAGGAAGUCACGGCUAACUACGUGCCAGCAGCCGCGGUAAUACGUAGGUGGCGAGCGUUAUCCGGAAUGAGUGGGCGUAAAGGGUGCGUAGGCGGCCUGCUAAGUCUGGAGUGAAAGGUACCGGCUCAACCGGUAUAGGCUCUGGAAACUGGCGGGCUAGAGAGCGGGAGAGGGCGGUGGAACUCGAGGUGUAGCGGUAAAAUGCGUAGAUAUAGGGAAGAACACCAGUGGCGAAGGCGGCCGACUGGCGUGUGACUGACGCUGAGGCACGAAAGCGUGGGGAGCAAAUAGGAUUAGAUACCCGAGUAGUC
Molecule: ribosomal RNA, 464 nt
Filed under: uncultured bacterium
Lineage: Bacteria
Description: partial 16S ribosomal RNA
Rfam family: Bacterial small subunit ribosomal RNA
Source: RNAcentral